CAGUGAGUGGCUUUGCAUUAAGUAAGUGCCCUUAAUCAGCUUUUCAGUUCAGUUUUAUUGGUUGCACCACAGUUAUUUCAUCCAGAAAAUCUGAGGGCCCUACAAAGCUAAGCAGCAUUCAGCACUGACAUCAGGCAGGAGAGAACAAUGAGUGAGGCAGCUUAAUCCACACAACCCUCUCCCGUGCCUUUCGAUUGUAAGAUUUCUACUCAUCCACUGCACCAAGAGAAAAGCUGCAGCCAGAACAGAUUCUUUCCUCUUUCUCCUUUUUGCAAGAUUACUUGUAUCACAGGAGAUAUGGAGAAGCUGUACAGGUUGGGAGUUGGAGACAUCCUUACGCCAGUGAAACUGAAGCAGCCCGCUGAAUUCAACCCAAGCAUUUAACACCACUGCAGCUUGAAUACCAGGUUUGGUCAACAUAAAAUAAAAAAUAUUCAUGUGUAGUUAUGUAUUUUUCUGGAGGACAGUCAACCCCAGAAGCCGGUCAGGUAAGUGGAAGAAUUUUGGAUUGAUAUCUAAUGGGAAUAAACAUGAUUCAUGUGCCAGAUAUGUGCACAGAUAUGUGCUUAUCCACAGAGUAUCUUCUGACAAAUACUCAAUAUUUGAUUAGGAUG
Molecule: long non-coding RNA, 614 nt
Organism: Podarcis raffonei (Aeolian wall lizard)
Lineage: Eukaryota; Metazoa; Chordata; Lepidosauria; Squamata; Lacertidae
Exons: 4
Source: RefSeq, a predicted model, not a curated record